This 465-nucleotide ribosomal RNA is filed under the name uncultured bacterium. RNAcentral's name for it is "partial 16S ribosomal RNA". It matches the Rfam family "Bacterial small subunit ribosomal RNA", at positions 28 to 507 of the family's 1533-position model. The record is from RNAcentral.
GAUGAACGCUGGCGGCGUGCUUAACACAUGCAAGUCGAACGGAAAGGCCCCUGUUUGCAGGGGUACUCGAGUGGCGAACGGGUGAGUAACACGUGAGUGACCUGCCCUGCACUUCGGGAUAAGUUUGGGAAACUGGGUCUAAUACCGGAUAGGACCACAUGUUGAAUGGUGUGGUGGAAAGCUUUUCGGUGGGGGAUGAGCUCGCGGCCUAUCAGCAUGUUGUUGGGGUUAUAGACUACCAAGGCGACGACGGCUAGCCGGCCUGAGGGGGUGUACGGCGAAAUUGGGACUGAGAUACGGGCCAGACUCCUACGGGAGGCAGCAGUGGGGAAUUUUGCACAAUGGGCGCAAGCCUGAUGCAGCGACGCCGCGUGGGGGAUGACGGCCGUCGGGUUGUAAACUGCUUUCGCGAGUGACAAAGCGCAAGUGACGGUACUUGGAGAAGAAGCACCGGCUAACUACGUG